AAGAAGAAGAAGAACAAGAAGAAUAAUAGAGAGGAGCAGUUUUGAACAAGAUGAAUAAUAGAGAGGAGCAGUUUUAAGAAAGAAGAACCUGGAAUUUAGGGCCUGCCAUGCACCGAGCCAAAAUUGCAACUUCCCUUAACAGAUAUGAAACAAUGCCCAAACGAAAUCAAGCUUUGAUACCAUUUGAAGAAUAUAAAUUAGGGAGAGAUAGAGAAGAAAGGGGAAGGGAAAUAGUAGAAGAAGGAAGAUAGAGAAAAUUAGAGCUUAGAGAAGAGAAUAGAAAGAAACAGAGAGAAGAAUUGAUUGUUUUAUUGAUAUUUCUUGGAUAGUCUUUUGUUACAACUCUUCAGUUAUUUAUAAAACAUCUCUUCUGCUAACUGUUCCUGUCAAAUAUAACAACUACUUCAACAACUAUAAAAAUUCCUAUAAUAGCUAUCAACUCAUCUCAACUAAAUCUACUUAUUUUACUCCCUCCACCAUACAGUUACAACCCUUAUUAAUAUUCAUAACAAUUUGCUUUAUCCUUUUGGCAUUUUUUUCUUAAAUUACCCAAUCGGUUAUUCUCCUUAAACAGAACUAGAAUGUAGAGGUGAUUAAAACCGUGGUGGAUCUCUUUGGCUCAAUUGCGUCUUACUCUUAACCAGUGUUGUCAAGAGGCGCCUGGUCACUCAGUCCGGGCAAGGCAAAAUCUAGGCACCUUGCCUGGGAAGCCUCCAGGCGAGGCACCUUCAACUAGGCGCACCUAGGCAAGGCUGAGGCAAGGCGUCACCAGGCGCCCGUAGGCGAGAAAUUGAAAAAAAAAAGUUGAGAAAGAGAAAAGCUAACCUAAUUUGUUUUCACUUAUUGGCAUCCACACGAUCACUAGAGAAUUAGGAUUUUUAAGUUUGCAUGACAUAAUGAAUAUCUAGAAUUUUAAAUUAUAUUAUAUGCUUUAUAGUUUUUGCUUUAACAAUUUGUGUUAUUAGAGGAAUGGUUUUAAUCUUGAAGCUUAAAACAUAUAAU
RNAcentral lists this unclassified non-coding RNA (1002 nucleotides) under Hevea brasiliensis (rubber tree). The record is from RNAcentral. Lineage: Eukaryota; Viridiplantae; Streptophyta; Magnoliopsida; Malpighiales; Euphorbiaceae.